This 430-nucleotide ribosomal RNA is filed under the name Bacteroidota bacterium. RNAcentral's name for it is "Bacteroidetes bacterium partial 16S ribosomal RNA". It matches the Rfam family "Bacterial small subunit ribosomal RNA", at positions 355 to 776 of the family's 1533-position model. Lineage: Bacteria; Pseudomonadati; Bacteroidota. The record is from RNAcentral.
UAGGGAAUCUUCGGCAAUGGGGGGAACCCUGACCGAGCAACGCCGCGUGAGUGAAGAAGGUUUUCGGAUCGUAAAGCUCUGUUGUUAAGGAAGAACGAGUGUGAGAAUGGAAAGUUCAUACUGUGACGGUACUUAACCAGAAAGGGACGGCUAACUACGUGCCAGCAGCCGCGGUAAUACGUAGGGCGCAAGCGUUAUCCGGAAUUAUUGGGCGUAAAGAGCUUGUAGGCGGUUCGUCGCGUCUGGUGUGAAAGCCCAUCGCUUAACGGUGGGUUUGCGCCGGGUACGGGCGGGCUAGAGUGCAGUAGGGGAGACUGGAAUUCCCGGUGUAACGGUGGAAUGUGUAGAUAUCGGGAAGAACACCAAUGGCGAAGGCAGGUCUCUGGGCUGUUACUGACGCUGAGAAGCGAAAGCGUGGGGAGCGAACAGG